CAGUAGCCGCGGGAACACGUAGGGUGCAAGCGUUAAUCGGAAUUACUGGGCGUAAAGCGUGCGCAGGCGGUUAUAUAAGACAGAUGUGAAAUCCCCGGGCUCAACCUGGGAACUGCAUUUGUGACUGUAUAGCUAGAGUACGGCAGAGGGGGAUGGAAUUCCGCGUGUAGCAGUGAAAUGCGUAGAUAUGCGGAGGAACACCGAUGGCGAAGGCAAUCCCCUGGGCCUGUACUGACGCUCAUGCACGAAAGCGUGGGGAGCAAACAGGAUUAGAUACCCGUGUAGUCCCUGUCUCUUAUAC
RNAcentral lists this ribosomal RNA (301 nucleotides) under uncultured bacterium. RNAcentral's name for it is "partial 16S ribosomal RNA". It matches the Rfam family "Bacterial small subunit ribosomal RNA", at positions 509 to 807 of the family's 1533-position model. The record is from RNAcentral.